CAAUGGAGGAGCGAGGCGGAAAAUUUCGAAUGUGGCGGCGGUAGUUCCAGGCGACGGCGGACGGUGGUACGGUCCUGGAGGGCCCAGUGCGCGGGGCUAGCCGUGGCUGGAGAGCUUCGAAGAGCCUUGAAAUGUGAGGAGGAGGAAGAUAGCUGUUGCAGAAGUAGUGGCCAAGGCAAAAGAUGGCCAAGGAAAGAUGCCUGAAAAAGUCCUUUCAAGAUAGUCUUGAAGACAUAAAGAAGCGAAUGAAAGAGAAAAGGAAUAAAAACUUGGCAGAGAUUGGCAAACGCAGGUCUUUUAUAGCUGCACCAUGCCAAAUAAUCAAACCAGGAAAUAUGUUCCUCUGGAAUGGACCCCAAUAGUGAUGACAGCUCCAGAAAUUUAUUUGUGAAGGAUUUACCGCAAAUUCCUCUUGAAGAAACUGAACUUCCAGGACAAGGAGAAUCAUUUCAAAUAGAAGAUCAGAUACCUACUAUUCCUCAAGACACACUGGGAGUUGAUUUUGAUUCAGCUACACCACCUGAAACUCAGCAGUCACCUCAUCUUAGCCUGAAGGAUAUCACCAAUGUCUCCUUGUAUCCUGUUGUGAAAAUCAGAAGACUUUCUCUUUCUCCAAAAAAGAAUAAAGCAAGCCCAGCAGUGGCUCUGCCUAAACGUAGGUGCACAGCCAGCGUGAACUAUAAGGAGCCCACCCUCGCUUCGAAACUGAGAAGAGGGGACCCUUUUACAGAUUUGUGUUUUUUGAAUUCUCCUAUUUUCAAGCAGAAAAAGGAUUUGAGACGUUCUAAAAAAAGUAUGAAACAAAUACAAUGAAGGUUUUGUUGGAUAUUGUUUAAAUUCAAUCUACACCUCUUUCUGUUGCUUCAGGAGAGGAUCUGUAAGAGUACACAAACAGAGUGAGCCAUUGCCAUAGAAUAUUCUCUUGACAGGACCCUAGCUCAUAAACAUUUCUUCAGAACUAUACUUCAAAUGGGAUGCUUUGUAUUAAAACUUUAAUAAAUUUAAUUUAUUUUUUCUUUUGAAUAUAAAUAACUGAGCUUAAGCAUUAUCAUCAUAUCGAUUUCUUAUGCUGCCUAAACCUCUUAAUUUUAGUCGAAAUAUAUCUUUUUUUUUUUUUGGAGGCGGAAUUUCAUUCUUGUUGCCCAGGCUGGAGUGCAAUGGCACGAUCUCAGCUUACCGCAACCUCCGCCUCCCAGGUUCAAGCGAUUCUCCUGCCUCAGACUCCCGAGUAGCUGGGACUACAGGCAUGUGCCACUACGCCCGGCUAAUUUUGUAUUUUUAGUAGAGACAGGGUUUCUCCAUGUUGGUCAGGUUGCUCUCAAACUCCCAACCUCAGGUGAUCUGCCCACCUCGGCCUCCCAAAGUGCUGGGAUUACUGAGCCACUGUGCCCAGCCCAAAAUGUAUCUUAUACAAACAUUGUAGAAAUGAAUAAUGAUUACUCAAAUAAGAUCUUUUAAUUAUAAGCUUCUGGCAUCUCUAUUUUUCCCUUAAGUAGGGGAUACUAAAGUGAAUGAUUUUCUAAGAGGAUCUUUUGAAACUCUUUAGUACAAUAUUUGAGUAAAAUAAAUUAUUGUGGAUCUUUUGAAACUCUGUGUAGUAUUCGAGUAAAAUAAAUAUUUGACAUUUACAGUAGGGUACACCCUAAGUUGUUUAUGAAUUCCUUAUACCACUGUUAUAUUUAAUUUUUCAGAUAAAAUAUGUAUGGGAAAAUGACUAGAGAAAUUGAUUCUUUUUUAGGCUCAGGGACAAGAUAAGUGACUAAUUGUGAACCCCAAGCUCUAAUUGUAUGUUCAGAGUGAUGUCUCCAUAAAAUUACAAAUGUCAUGUACUUUCAGGGUAGCUCCUUAUUUAGUCAGAAAUCUCAGAGAUUAAAUGUGUGAAUAUUUAGGGUUUUUGCAUAUUUUUGACCAACCAAUGAAAGCGAAUUAGUUCAGUUUAGAAAGUUUGAUGUCUAUACUUGUAUAUACCUCUUUAAAUUUUAGAACUUUGUAGGUUAUUCAUUUUUAAAGAGCAAUAAAGUUUGUAUAAGAUAGUGA
Molecule: long non-coding RNA, 2037 nt
Filed under: Homo sapiens (human)
Lineage: Eukaryota; Metazoa; Chordata; Mammalia; Primates; Hominidae
Description: long non-coding RNA NONHSAT195475.1
Source: RNAcentral